RNAcentral lists this ribosomal RNA (107 nucleotides) under Bacillus obstructivus. RNAcentral describes it as "partial 23S ribosomal RNA". It matches the Rfam family "Bacterial large subunit ribosomal RNA", at positions 503 to 605 of the family's 2925-position model. The record is from RNAcentral. Lineage: Bacteria; Bacillati; Bacillota; Bacilli; Caryophanales; Bacillaceae.
GUGAGGGAAAGGUGAAAAGCACCCCGGAAGGGGAGUGAAAGAGAACCUGAAACCGUGUGCCUACAAGUAGUUAGAGCUCUAUGCUUUAUGCAGAGUGAUAGCGUGCC